GCUGGCGACCGGCGCACGGGUGAGUAACACGUAUCCAACCUGCCCUUUACUCGGGGAUAGCCUUUCGAAAGAAAGAUUAAUACCCGAUAGCAUAAUGAUUCCGCAUGGUUUCAUUAUUAAAGGAUUCCGGUAAAGGAUGGGGAUGCGUUCCAUUAGGUUGUUGGUGAGGUAACGGCCCACCAAGCCUUCGAUGGAUAGGGGUUCUGAGAGGAAGGUCCCCCACAUUGGAACUGAGACACGGUCCAAACUCCUACGGGAGGCAGCAGUGAGGAAUAUUGGUCAAUGGGCGCUAGCCUGAACCAGCCAAGUAGCGUGAAGGAUGAAGGCUCUAUGGGUCGUAAACUUCUUUUAUAUAAGAAUAAAGUGCAGUAUGUAUACUGUUUUGUAUGUAUUAUAUGAAUAAGGAUCGGCUAACUCCGUGCCAGCAGCCGCGGUAAUACGGAGGAUCCGAGCGUUAUCCGGAUUUAUUGGGUUUAAGGGGAGCGUAGGCGGAUUGUUAAGUCAGUUGUGAAAGUUUGCGGCUCAACCGUAAAAUUGCAGUUGAUACUGGCAGUCUUGAGUGCAGUAGAGGUGGGCGGAAUUCGUGGUGUAGCGGUGAAAUGCUUAGAUAUCACGAAGAACUCCGAUUGCGAAGGCAG
RNAcentral lists this ribosomal RNA (638 nucleotides) under uncultured bacterium. RNAcentral describes it as "bacterial SSU rRNA". It matches the Rfam family "Bacterial small subunit ribosomal RNA", at positions 87 to 724 of the family's 1533-position model. The record is from RNAcentral.